RNAcentral lists this ribosomal RNA (516 nucleotides) under Erwinia rhapontici. RNAcentral's name for it is "bacterial SSU rRNA". It matches the Rfam family "Bacterial small subunit ribosomal RNA", at positions 266 to 774 of the family's 1533-position model. Lineage: Bacteria; Pseudomonadati; Pseudomonadota; Gammaproteobacteria; Enterobacterales; Erwiniaceae. The record is from RNAcentral.
CACCUAGGCGACGAUCCCUAGCUGGUCUGAGAGGAUGACCAGCCACACUGGAACUGAGACACGGUCCAGACUCCUACGGGAGGCAGCAGUGGGGAAUAUUGCACAAUGGGCGCAAGCCUGAUGCAGCCAUGCCGCGUGUAUGAAGAAGGCCUUCGGGUUGUAAAGUACUUUCAGUGGGGAGGAAGGCGAUGAGGUUAAUAGCUUCGUCGAUUGACGUUACCCGCAGAAGAAGCACCGGCUAACUCCGUGCCAGCAGCCGCGGUAAUACGGAGGGUGCAAGCGUUAAUCGGAAUUACUGGGCGUAAAGCGCACGCAGGCGGUCUGUCAAGUCGGAUGUGAAAUCCCCGGGCUCAACCUGGGAACUGCAUUCGAAACUGGCAGACUAGAGUCUUGUAGAGGGGGGUAGAAUUCCAGGUGUAGCGGUGAAAUGCGUAGAGAUCUGGAGGAAUACCGGUGGCGAAGGCGGCCCCCUGGACAAAGACUGACGCUCAGGUGCGAAAGCGUGGGGAGCAAACA